AAGGAGGAUGUGAGAGUUAGCAUUCCUGCCUGAUACCAUCUUCCUAGAUUUAGUCUGCCAUGUUUAUGUGCUUGCUGAACUUCCGGACUGUUCUGCUGGCCUCAACAGGCAGAACAUCAUU
This is a non-coding RNA of Triticum aestivum (bread wheat), 121 nucleotides long. The record is from Rfam. Lineage: Eukaryota; Viridiplantae; Streptophyta; Magnoliopsida; Poales; Poaceae.